RNAcentral lists this long non-coding RNA (1028 nucleotides) under Polistes fuscatus (common paper wasp). RNAcentral's name for it is "uncharacterized LOC122522272". The record is from RNAcentral. Lineage: Eukaryota; Metazoa; Arthropoda; Insecta; Hymenoptera; Vespidae.
UCACUGAUCAACCGAUCGAAGCUCUUCUUUUUAAAGAUGGAAAGUUGGAAGGAACCGACAGGAGUAGAAGCGCAGGACAGUUAUGUGUCUCGAUGCGAUGUGCUUGUCUUAGGAGAAAGAAUUUGAAACAUUUCAAAUAUUCACUUACAUCUGCAAGUGAAAUGGAACUCCAAGAACAUCAAACCUUUCUACUUCAAAAUCUACUCCAAUGGUCGCCUUAUAGUUGUUGUCAAAAAGUUUGUGACAAAAACUGAUAAACGAGAUAAUAUUAUUUUUAUAAUGUUUGAAUUAAUAAAAUUAAAGGAGUCAUUCUGGCUGAAAAUUUAGAAAAAUUAUCACAGAGUUUUUCGGAGAUGGAGGUAGCUAUGCUUAUUUACAAAAAUUCCUUUUUUCGGAAAUUUGUUUUCUAUUAGUUUAAGCUGUGAUAAAAGGUACAACAAAAUUUUAAACCAAAACUCAUUGUUUUUAUGGAAAAAUAAAUUCACGGAAAUAAUUUUAUUUUUGCAUUGUUUGACCAGAAUAGCUCCUUAAGUUAACACUUUGUAGGCGAGCUCCAUUUUUAAACGUGCAGCGACAAAAUUUAGUUGACUAAUUACAUAUAGAGUUAUUUGCCUAAAAAAAUAAAGUAAUUGUUAUUUUUACAAGAAUAAUCAAUUUAUUAUUUUGUACUGCUGUCUAUCACAUCACUGAAAUUACAGUCUCUCGCUUACGAAGUUUGUUCUUGUCCGAACCAUGAUCAUAAUCUCCCGUCUACAAAGUGUUACACUGAAAAAUAAAUUUUGAAUUUAUAUUAUAUUAUACCGAUUUACUAAUGAAGUUUUUCCAACCGCUACAUCUCCAAUGACAAUUACUUUCGAUAUUCGAAGGAUAAAAGAUUUCUCUGCACAAGCUUGUUUAACGACAUCGUUGAAAUCUCUCUCGUAGUAAGGAGUUAUCGCUGAAGAAAAUGGGGGUGGCCAUUUUUGAAUCUAUUGAUAAUUAUAUUAUUAUAUUUUAUGCAUACAAAUUAGAAUAAACAAUAUAAAGCA